RNAcentral lists this ribosomal RNA (450 nucleotides) under uncultured bacterium. Its description in RNAcentral is "bacterial SSU rRNA". It matches the Rfam family "Bacterial small subunit ribosomal RNA", at positions 354 to 796 of the family's 1533-position model. The record is from RNAcentral.
GUGGGGAAUAUUGGACAAUGGGCGAAAGCCUGAUCCAGCCAUGCCGCGUGUGUGAAGAAGGUCUUCGGAUUGUAAAGCACUUUAAGUUGGGAGGAAGGGUAGUAACCUAAUACGUUGCUACUUUGACGUUACCGACAGAAUAAGCACCGGCUAACUUCGUGCCAGCAGCCGCGGUAAUACGAAGGGUGCAAGCGUUAAUCGGAAUUACUGGGCGUAAAGCGCGCGUAGGUGGUUCAGUAAGUUGGAAGUGAAAUCCCCGGGCUCAACCUGGGAACUGCUUUCAAAACUGCUGAGCUAGAGUACGGUAGAGGGUGGUGGAAUUUCCUGUGUAGCGGUGAAAUGCGUAGAUAUAGGAAGGAACACCAGUGGCGAAGGCGACCACCUGGACUGAUACUGACACUGAGGUGCGAAAGCGUGGGUAGCAAACAGGAUUAGAUACCCUUGUAGUCC